Molecule: ribosomal RNA, 468 nt
Filed under: uncultured bacterium
Lineage: Bacteria
Description: partial 16S ribosomal RNA
Rfam family: Bacterial small subunit ribosomal RNA
Source: RNAcentral
GACGAACGCUGGCGGCGUGCUUAACACAUGCAAGUCGAACGGAAAGGCCCUGCUUUUGUGGGGUGCUCGAGUGGCGAACGGGUGAGUAACACGUGAGUAACCUGCCCUUGACUUUGGGAUAACUUCAGGAAACUGGGGCUAAUACCGGAUAGGAGCUCCUGCUGCAUGGUGGGGGUUGGAAAGUUUCGGCGGUUGGGGAUGGACUCGCGGCUUAUCAGCGUGUUGGUGGGGUAGUGGCUUACCAAGGCUUUGACGGGUAGCCGGCCUGAGAGGGUGACCGGCCACAUUGGGACUGAGAUACGGCCCAGACUCCUGCGGGAGGCAGCAGUGGGGAAUAUUGCACAAUGGGCGGAAGCCUGAUGCAGCAACGCCGCGUGCGGGAUGACGGCCUUCGGGUUGUAAACCGCUUUAGCCUGUGACGAAGCGUGAGUGACGGUAAUGGGUAAAGAAGCACCGGCUAACUACGUG